This 497-nucleotide ribosomal RNA is filed under the name uncultured bacterium. RNAcentral's name for it is "partial 16S ribosomal RNA". It matches the Rfam family "Bacterial small subunit ribosomal RNA", at positions 28 to 507 of the family's 1533-position model. The record is from RNAcentral.
GAUGAACGCUGGCGGCGUGCCUAAUACAUGCAAGUCGAGCGAACGGACGAGAAGCUUGCUUUUCUGAUGUUAGCGGCGGACGGGUGAGUAACACGUGGAUAACCUACCUAUAAGACUGGGAUAACUUCGGGAGACCGGAGCUAAUACCGGAUAAUAUUUUGAACCGCAUGGUUCAAAAGUGAAAGACGGUCUUGCUGUCACUUAUAGAUGGAUCCGCGCUGCAUUAGCUAGUUGGUAAGGUAACGGCUUACCAAGGCAACGAUGCAUAGCAGACCUGAGAGGGUGAUCGGCCACACUGGAACUGAGACACGGUCCAGACUCCUACGGGAGGCAGCAGUAGGGAAUCUUCCGCAAUGGGCGAAAGCCUGACGGAGCAACGCCGCGUGAGUGAUGAAGGUCUUCGGAUCGUAAAACUCUGUUAUUAGGGAAGAACAUAUGUGUAAGUAACUGUGCACAUCUUGACGGUACCUAAUCAGAAAGCCACGGCUAACUACGUG